This is an RNA transcript of Mesocricetus auratus (golden hamster), 5972 nucleotides long. It is a transcript of the gene named G protein-coupled receptor 107, with no coding region annotated. The record is from RefSeq and is a predicted model, not a curated record. The transcript has 19 exons. NCBI's taxonomy places the organism in Eukaryota, Metazoa, Chordata, Mammalia, Rodentia, Cricetidae.
CUGCGGGUUCCGGCCUUUGGUCCGGGUCCCUCACUCCCCAAGCCCGGCGAGGCCGACAAGGAGGCUCGGGUUGGUCUUGCCUCGCCAUGGCUGUCACGGCACACGCUCAGGGUUCUCAGAGGGGCUUCGCUGGAAGUCCGCACUGAAGAAGCUAUAAGCUCAGGUCCCUCCGUGACCAAAGAGAUGCACUUCGCACUAAAAUGAUCCUAGAGGUAGCGGCCGCGCCCCCCUUCCAGAACACUUCCGGGACGCCGCACUUUGACCCGGAAGUGGGCGGGAGAGGAAGUAGCUGGUGAUGCUGGAACAAACAUGGCCGUCCCGGUGUCCCUCGGCCGCUCGGGCUCUUGCUGUCUACGGCUGCUGCCACUGCUGGCGCUGCUGGAGCUGCUGGUCGACCCCUGCCUGGGCCGCGUCCACCACCUGGCGCUCAAAGAUGACGUGAGGCAUAAAGUUCAUCUGAACACCUUUGGGUUCUUCAAGGACGGGUACAUGGUGGUCAACGUCAGCAGCCUCUCUGUGAAUGAACCGAAGGGAGACGUGAAAACGAAGUCUGAGAUCGGCUUCAGUCUAGAUCGGACCAAGAACGAUGGCUUUUCUUCUUACCUGGAUGAAGAUGUGAAUUACUGUAUUUUACGAAAACAGUCUAUAUCUUCUGUUACCCUUCUCAUCUUAGACAUCUCUGAAAGCGUAGUCAAGGUCAGAUCUCCACCAGAAGCCGGCACCCAGUUACCAAAGAUUGUUUUCAGCAAGGACGAGAAAGUCCUGGAUCAGAACCAGGAGCCUGCGGUCAGCUCCAUACCCACAGAGAGCGCGGUGCAGAGAGCCCAAGAUGGUUCGAAGGCUAGAAGAAGUGCAGGGGAUUCAAAGGCAACAGCAGAGAAAUCCUUCUCAAUUCAUAAGAACGAUGGUGCAGUUUCAUUUCAGUUCUUCUUUAACAUCAGCACGGAUGACCAGGAAGGCCUGUACAGCCUCUACUUCCACAAGUGCCCAGGCAGCAAGGCGCAGCCCAGUGAGAAGGUCUCCUUCAGCCUGAAUAUUGACAUCACUGAGAAGAACCCUGACAGCUACCUCUCUGCUGGGGAGAUCCCUCUCCCCAAGUUGUACGUUUCCAUGGCCGCCUUCUUCUUCCUUUCUGGGACCAUCUGGAUUCAUAUCCUUCGUAAGCGAAGGAAUGAUGUGUUUAAAAUUCACUGGUUGAUGGCGGCCCUUCCUUUCACCAAGUCUCUGUCUUUGGUGUUCCAUGCAAUCGACUACCACUAUAUCUCCUCGCAGGGCUUUCCGAUUGAAGGCUGGGCUGUCGUAUACUACAUAACUCACCUCCUAAAGGGGGCGCUGCUGUUCAUCACCAUCGCUCUCAUUGGCACUGGCUGGGCCUUCAUCAAGCACAUCUUGUCUGAUAAAGACAAGAAGAUCUUCAUGAUCGUCAUCCCACUCCAGGUGCUGGCAAACGUGGCCUACAUCAUCAUAGAGUCCACAGAGGAGGGCACGACAGAAUACGGCCUGUGGAAGGACUCUCUGUUCCUGGUUGACCUGCUGUGCUGUGGUGCUAUCCUCUUCCCAGUGGUGUGGUCAAUCAGACAUUUACAAGAAGCCUCAGCCACAGAUGGAAAAGCUGCCAUUAACUUAGCAAAGCUGAAGCUUUUCAGACAUUACUACGUCUUGAUUGUGUGCUACAUCUACUUCACCAGGAUCAUCGCCUUUCUUCUCAAGUUUGCUGUUCCAUUCCAGUGGAAGUGGCUCUACCAGUUGCUGGAUGAAACAGCCACGCUGGUGUUCUUUGUCCUGACGGGGUAUAAAUUCCGCCCGGCUUCAGAUAACCCCUACCUGCAGCUCUCUCAGGAGGAAGAUGACCUGGAGAUGGAGUCUGUGGCUGCAGGAUCACCCUAGAGUGCUUGUCAAGUAUAGGCUCUGUCGCUGCUCAGAGGGAGGCCACAGCCACUAGCGGGGUGAAAGCAGCGGCGCAGGCCCAGCAGUGCAGAGUGACAACAUCAGGAGUGAUGGAGAAUAUGAAGAAAGUCAGGAAAGUAACCAAUGGUGUUGUGGAGCCCCCGGGUGACUGGGAAGGCACUGCGUGAUAGAACCCGCUCUGAGGAUGCACUGUCAAUGAAAACUAACUUAUUCAUAGCCCUAUCAGCGAGCAAGCGUGUUCCUGACAGAACUGUGGCAUCUCCCAACAGUGACACCCCAGCGCUCGCUCAUGGCACGGCAGAGGGCCGUGGACACCUACUUUUGUACUCUUAGAGGAUCUGGAUUGCAGUGGGUUACAGGCAGCUAGGACUGUCCCUCAGGGAGGGUAGGAGCAUAGAGGAUGGGUGAAAGGUUUACCUUGCUAAUUGGGAGUCUGGGGUCCAUGUAGGGGAACCGCAGCGGCUGCCGCUCAGAAAGGCUGUGGCGGUGGGAAAGGCAGGCUGCCGCUGCUCACAGAGCUUUGGAGGCUGAGAAUGUGGCUCACUCUUGACCAAGCAUUCACGAGGCUCCGGGUUCAAUCCCUAGUACCAGGAUGGGGGAGAAGUUACGUUGGAAUGUAGGCAGCUAUCUACCAAGGACAUGAAGAAGAGAGAGAGAGAUUGACCACCUUGGGCAAACAACAGCAACAGAAAUGAUUGGAAUUAUUUUAGAAAGCCAAAUAGUCACCCUAGGUAGUAUGAAGCAUCUGCCUGGGCCACUGGCCCCAAGCACCACUCUAAAUGCUGUCCCCUCUUCUAAUGGUGACAUAGAACAGUGGUGCUACAGGCCAGCUGGGAGGCCCUUGGCGUUGCUGUUGAGGCCGCUGCCAGCGCCACACACAGCCCUGCUGGUGGAGAAUAGCUGUCUCCAGGCCUGUCGGAAGGGUAGAUGAGCCCUGGAGCUCCAGAAGUGUUCUCCAGCUGACUCCAGACUCCAUCCUCUGCCUGUCCAGAGCAGCCCGGCCUGGCUUGCUCUCCACCUGUGUCUUCUCAACAGGAGAAUGUUCCUUAAGGAGCCACUGGGGGCAGAAAGGGCCACAUCUAAGCAAAUACUUUGGAAAGUCUUGAUCCACAGCUGGCUCGACCAGGCAGGACUCUGGGCCUCAACCACGUAGUCCAAGCUUUCGUGAAGGAAGUGAGCACUGAGACAACGAGCCUGUCAGGAAUACCAGCGGCUGCCUGCAUGGGACAGUGGUGCGGCAGAGAAUGCGCUCAGAGGGCACGUGACCAAGGGCACAGGUGACCAGCUCAGCACCCCAAAGCUGCUUAGUGCACAAGACUUGUAGGUGAAUCAUAGGUUCAAGGAACAGGGGCUCCCUGGGGUGACAGUUACUACCUCCCAGCGCAGAAGAAUCAAAUCUGUCCUGAAAACAGUUGUGUCUGUCUCCGUGCCCCACCCCAACUUCCACAUCAUCCGCCUCCAGUGAGACGCCGUCUCUGCCAUUCCGGGUCUGAGGAGGCCCCUCUCCACCAGCUCUUCUAUCUGGAGAAAGGUAGACAAGCCUGAAAGACUUGAUUUAGGGAGCUUUCUCUCCUUUUUUUGUUUUGUUCUUGUCUAUUGGUUUAAGGUAUGUGACGGGAAGGGAGUUGGAGAGGAGACGGGGAUAAUUUUUCAUGCUUUGUUUUCUGCACAUAAGCACUCAGCAGCACUGCAGACGUUCCUGUGGUGACAUCUAGGCCUACCCCUCACAUGGCAGCCUGGGGGGGGGGGCGGCAGCACUGCCAGCAGACAUUGUUGACUAGGCGCUAGACUCACGGAAGGUGUGAGCCAGCCUCCCCUGGCAGGGUUUUUAUGGAGGGGCCUCAUUUGCUCAGUGGCAGAGAGCAAGAUGGGAACUGUCUACAGCCUAGCCCACCAGCCUCUGGGUGGCUCUAGGGGACAGCCUGGGCCUUCCAGAGCAUGGGUGCACAGGCAGGAAGGUGGGCCAGGACAGUGUCUUGCCCUGUAACUGCUGUAGGUGGGAUGUCGGAGUGAUGGGGUCAGAAGCCUAGCCCAAGGCUGGGAAGGCUGGACGGGUGUGCCCCAACUGUGGAGGAGACCGUGCAGCUGCUCAUCCUGCACUGUAAAUGUGUCAUCCCCAUCAUCUGAGAGCUGGGAGCCAGCGGUCAGCGGCGUCCUCGGGUAGAGGAGUCUGACUGGAGUCUGGGGCUGCCCAGUUGCCCAGCUCACAGCUGCCCUCUGUAGCCUGGUCCAGCCUCUCUGUCUCCACAGCCAUGCUUGAACGCUGCAGCCCUGGGUGGGGUGGAGGGUUCACCUUGUCCUGCACUGUGGUGUUUCUAGCUCUGCUUCUGCCGGGGUGAGGCAUCCACGCUUCCUUUGAGAGUGCUGUGGACUGGAAGCUGCAGGCCGUGACAUUUAAUGAAAAUUACCAAGUCCUGGUUCUUAACAGUGUGGAGGGCUCAGCCUCUUAACAUUUGACUAGCAGUGUUGGCUAAUGUUUAGCCUGACUGGAGUUCCUUCUCUCUGGAGGAACAGCUCACUCCAGGGGCAGAGAUCCCUCCUCGCACCAGGCCUGUGUCUGUUCAGUUUUCCUUCAGAAACCACUUCAGAAGAAAUAAAAGUGUCCCCACUCUCCAACCCUCUGCCUGCUCAGCAGCCAGGCCCACACAGCUCCUGAGGUGCUUGUGGGAUUUCUGCUCUUCCUGGUCCUUCCAUCUUCCUCUCUUCCUCCUCCUCCUUUCCCUUACCCCCUACCACUACCACCACCAUGCCCGCUUACUUUCCAUUGACUCCCUUGCCCUCCCUGGCAUGCUGGCUGCAGCCUGGCGCACUGCAGCUUUGUCUGCCGGCGGUGGGUGCAGGAUGUAUUUCCUAACCAGGGAGCAUUCUAUCAAGAGUGCAAGCUAUGCAAACUAACACUAUGUAUUGCUGCUUUGUACCACACGGUGGUCUCCCCACACCCCAGCAUCUGUCUGACUCUUGGAGUGGAGUCUAAAGCCAGUCUUUGAAAAGGGGAAGUGUGUCAAAGAUUCCUGUGUACAUUUUCAGUGGCCUCUGGCUACCUCCCAUAUCCCAUAGUGUGUUCCUCGAGGAAGCAUUAGUCUGAUGAGGUUGCUGGCCCAGCCCCAUAUACCCAGGAGGACAGCCUAGCAUUCCAGCCUCCCUCUGCCAUGCUGCUGCUCUUCACAGGAAGAUCCCAGCCCUGCUCCCACACUCCACCACCCUGGCUUGUCUGGCCUGCCCGGGACCUCCGCACUUCGCCGCAUCACGGUGCUGCCCGGCCCGCUGCCGCCGCUUUCCUCUCUGGAGUUCGCUGAGGACUUUAUUUGUGUCUCUCGGCUAUCAGAAUGGUGUUCAUUUGGAGCAGGCCGGUGUUCUCAAAGAUCUGCCCUUUACUCCAGCUUUCCCAAGGCUGCCCAGGCGAGAAUCUGUAAAAUAUGUUCCUAGGAGUCUUGCUCAUACCUGUACCGCCUAGAAUGUGAUCACAGGUCAUAGGCCAAGGAGUCUCCCAAUUCCCCCAGGCCUCUUCUGUGUUGUAGGGGUGUGUCUGUUUCAUGCUUUAAAAGCAUCCUACAUUUAGGUGGCCCUCUGCCUGGGCUGGGAACUGCCUCCCUGCUUCCCGGUACAAGCAGGGAGCAGACCUGAUCAUGCUGUGUCAGGCAAGGAGAUUACAGACAGGCCACUGGGGAAGGCACCCAAGUUCCUGGUGUGCCCAUCUAUCAAAGAGGCAGGUUCACUCCCAAGGCAGGGUGGCCGUCUGCAGGUGAGGCUGUGCCAUAGGUGGGGAACAGGAGGGCCAGAAGCCUGUCCACACAAGGGAACUUCCCAGCCCCCAGGCAGCGUUUCUAGUCUACUCAUUGUCAGACUGAGUAACCCAGAGGUUUCACCUGCAGGAGGUCAUAUGGGCCUGUGCGCCCUACUCAGGCUGGGGUGCAGGGGCUGGGGACCACUUAGUAACUUUAGCAUUAACCAUUGAAUAUUUACAAGCAUGGGGUGUGGGUGUGUUCAGGAUUGGUGGGCUGGACACUGUAUGGAAGCAUUUCACUGCAAAGCAAACAUGUCUAAUAAAGAUUCCAUGCUGGAAA